RNAcentral lists this ribosomal RNA (253 nucleotides) under uncultured bacterium. RNAcentral describes it as "partial 16S ribosomal RNA". It matches the Rfam family "Bacterial small subunit ribosomal RNA", at positions 524 to 776 of the family's 1533-position model. The record is from RNAcentral.
GACAGAGGAGCCAAGCGUUGUCCGGAUUGACUGGGCGUAAAGCGCACGCAGGCGGAUGCGCGCGUGGGGUGUGAAAUCUGGCCGCUUAACGGCCAGGCGCCAUCCCAUACGGCGCGUCUGGAGUGAUGCAGAGGUCGAUGGAAUUGCCGGUGUAGUGGUGAAAUGCGUAGAGAUCGGCAGGAACCCCCAGGGGGAAACCAGUCGACUGGGCAUCUACUGACGCUGAGGUGCGAGAGCGUGGGGAGCGAACCGG